This 207-nucleotide ribosomal RNA is filed under the name uncultured bacterium. RNAcentral's name for it is "partial 16S ribosomal RNA". It matches the Rfam family "Bacterial small subunit ribosomal RNA", at positions 568 to 774 of the family's 1533-position model. The record is from RNAcentral.
UGCGUAGGCGGUUUACUAAGUCAGAUGUGAAAGCCCCGGGCUUAACCUGGGAACUGCAUUUGAUACUGGUAGGCUAGAGUAUGAUAGAGGGGGGUAGAAUUCCUGGUGUAGCGGUGAAAUGCGUAGAUAUCAGGAGGAGUACCAGUGGCGAAGGCGGCCCCCUGGAUCAAUACUGACGCUGAGGUACGAAAGCGUGGGUAGCGAACA